Molecule: long non-coding RNA, 217 nt
Filed under: Ananas comosus (pineapple)
Lineage: Eukaryota; Viridiplantae; Streptophyta; Magnoliopsida; Poales; Bromeliaceae
Description: long non-coding RNA (ACOM_LNC013344)
Source: RNAcentral
UUUCCUCCGAUGGCUUCGCUACUUUUGCCCUUCAUCUUUUCUCGUCCUUUCUUUUUCUUCUCCAUCUGAGGUUUCCUCUUCUCGCACCUCUUCAACUUUUCAUCUUCUCCUUAGCCUGCAAGCUUUCUCGCCAUGCUCUGAUUCUUUUUUUUCUUCAUCUCCUUCUCUUGAUUAUACUCUCCUUCGAUAAUAUGUUGAAUCGGAUCCUUCUCGACUU